This is a long non-coding RNA of Drosophila miranda, 1041 nucleotides long. RefSeq lists it as uncharacterized. The transcript has 3 exons. Lineage: Eukaryota; Metazoa; Arthropoda; Insecta; Diptera; Drosophilidae. The record is from RefSeq and is a predicted model, not a curated record.
UAGUAGCCAUAGAGUCACUGCUGGAUAUAGAAGGGAGCAGAAAAUCGAUGCUUUUCGUCGUCGUCAAGUCUCUGUCGUUUAUCUUUCUGUCGUUCGCCAUUAUUUUCUUGCUAUCGUCGUCAGUAAAUACAAAAAUCAGCUAUUCUCAUUACGCAAUAGCGCGCGUCUGCUAAAUUACGCAAUUUCCGUGCAUGCAGAUAUCGAUAGUAAUAUUGGCCAGCGCGAGGCACUGCUAUUAAAUCGAUAGUUGAGUGUAUAAAUGUGUGAUUUUGGUAUUUCUGCAUAUAUCUUACGCCAAUUCUUAAACUAGGUUGGCAGUCCGAUUGAAGCGUAUUUGAAGAGAUUGGCAGCGCUACGACAAGAAAAAUCGUCGACAAAAGGAAAAACUUUUGCAGGAGCAUCGAAAUCCGUCUGCGCAGGACAGCUUUAAGUGAAGACUACGAUAAAUUGGACUCAGGUCUUUGCUCGCCACAAUGGGAAGCAUUGCUAAUGCAAAAAUCGUGGGCUAUAUCUGCCGCCUGUGCGUUCAGGCACACACCAUCGUGAUCCACUUGUACAGCGAUAGAGCUGCAGAGCUACUGCUGAUAGAGAAAAUUCAAUUCCAUUUGGACCUGGCCAUUUCACCGGGGGAUAUUCGGCCCAAAGUGAUUUGCGUAGCAUGCUUUAAUCGUAUCGAGGAAGCCCAUCGUCUCUGGCAGGCCGAGAAUCCUGCCCAAGAUACAGAAGAAGAUACAGAAGAAGAUACAGAAGAUACACAAAAGGACGGCGACGAUUCCCCCGAUGCGGGCCCGAUUGCCCCAAACGUGUCUAACGACUAGAGCGAUGACCAUCUGAUCGAUCUGUGCUUGCAACUACAUUUACAAGACUACAUUUAACUUCACACUGAACCUGAAUUCGAUCUCAAUCUACUCAAUAUACCAAUGCUCCAGCGGAUCACUCUAAACACGUACCAGCCUGAAGCUCAACAGCCAAUGUGAUUGUUUAUGAAGCCAAUGAAUUUCUAAAGCCUUUAAAUAAUAAAAAGUGCUAAAAAAUACCUAU